RNAcentral lists this ribosomal RNA (468 nucleotides) under uncultured bacterium. RNAcentral's name for it is "partial 16S ribosomal RNA". It matches the Rfam family "Bacterial small subunit ribosomal RNA", at positions 28 to 507 of the family's 1533-position model. The record is from RNAcentral.
GACGAACGCUGGCGGCGUGCUUAACACAUGCAAGUCGAACGGAAAGGCCCUGCUUUUGUGGGGUGCUCGAGUGGCGAACGGGUGAGUAACACGUGAGUAACCUGCCCUUGACUUUGGGAUAACUUCAGGAAACUGGGGCUAAUACCGGAUAGGAGCUCCUGCUGCAUGGUGGGGGUUGGAAAGUUUCGGCGGUUGGGGAUGGACUCGCGGCUUAUCAGCUUGUUGGUGGGGUAGUGGCUUACCAAGGCUGUGACGGGUAGCCGGCCUGAGAGGGUGACCGGCCACAUGGGGACUGAGAGACGGCGCAGACUCCUACGGGAGGCAGCAGUGGGGAAUAUUGCACAAUGGGCGGAAGCCUGAUGCAGCAACGCCGGGUGCGGGAUGACGGCCUUCGGGUUGUAAACCGCUGUCGCCUGUGACGAAGCGUGAGUGACGGUAAUGGGUAAAGAAGCACCGGCUAACUACGUG